CUAAGUAGUUUAAAGUAUCCCUUUAAAGCAUAGUCUACCUUGGUCAGUAGAGCAUUGCAUGGCGAUUAACUUGGCUUCUACUUUGGUUUCUACAUUGGUUUGCAAACUUCUUCCUGGCCUCAGCAAUGGUUGCCCCAAAGGCUCCCCCAAGGGGUGAAGGAGAGCAGAGGGAUCUGAUAGGUGCUCACCGCUCCUGCAAUAGAAGUGUUGAAUACAGAAUAAAGCAUCUCUCAUGGUGAUUGGAUGUCAAAUAAAUCCUUGCCAAUAGUUGAGAAGAGCUUAUGUUGCUAGGCUAGUCCCAAAUCUGUUUUUCCAAUCACCCACAUCAACUAAUCAUAGACCAGUGGGUCUAUCUGAAGUUAUAGAAAGGAUGAGGGGGAGAGAUCAUUUGCCAUCAGAGUAGGAGUGCUGAUCUAGGAUCAGGUCCUCUGUCUAUUUAAUAGUAUUGUAGUAUUCAUUAUGAUCUUACCUUUUGCAAAUCCUUAGUCUGAUUUGUUCUCUUGGGUCAAAGUGGACCUUGUAUAUUAAUAAAAUAUUAUUGGUACUGUAAAUCCAUAUGUACAUGUACUAGCUAGCUAGCAUUGUAGUAGUACCUAAUAUAGGAUACUUGUAUUAACUGUUGUAGAUUCAUUUCAUGACCAUGAGUUCCUACAUGCGCUCCAGUAUUAAAGUUGCCAUACAGUGGCCACCACUAUUCCUCCAGCCACAUCUGGAACUCUAAGACAGACAGGCUGGCAGACAGACACACACAAAGGGCUAGCUCUAGCUUUUUGGGGACCCAAAGCGAGAUUUGGUUGGAGGAGGCGUCUCCCCACCACCAAGCGGGGGAAAUUGGCUGGUCGCCAGCUGGACGGUGUUUCCUCCGACACAUUGGUGCGGCUGGAUCUGGGUUAAGCGAGCAGUGUGUCAAGAAGCAGUGCGGCUUGGCAAGGUUGUGUUUCGGAGGACGCAUGGCUCUCGACCUUCGCCUCUCCCGAGUCCAUAGGGUAGUUGCAGCGAUGGGACAAGACUGUGACUACCAAUUGGAUACCAAGGAAAAGGGAGCCUUGAAGAACACAGAAUUCUCUGCAAUGUACGUAAACUAAUGACAACACCAUUUAUAUUGCUCAAUGAUACUAAUAUCUCCCAAUGCCUUAAACCGAGGAGAAAAUCAAAGUUGAUCAACUCAAGGAGACUGGCCAUAAUGUCAACCUGUGCAUGAGAGGAAGCCAAGCUUGCCAAGCAGCCAUUGCUAACGUUUCAUCGUAAUAAAGGAUAUUUCUCAUCAUAAAGGAUUAUUUAGUAAUAAUAAUAACAACUUUCUCGUUAUGAACGUGAUCUUUCUCGUAAUAAUGAGGUAAUGGAUUAUUUUGUUAUACCAAGUUAUUGAAUUGUUUUGGAAUAAUGUGAUCUUAUCUUGUAAUAAAAUAAUAAUCUGAGUGGCAGCAAUACACCACCGUACUCAUAACUCAUUUAAAGAUUUUUUUUUGGGGGGGGUUGGCAGGAACGGGCUUCUGUAGAUCACACAUCUCACCCACAAUUCCUUCUACAAAAAAAAAGAAGUAAUCUUUUGAAGGGGGCCAAGGACCCAUGAUGCCAGUCAGAGUUUAAUGAAGGUGAAUUUGGUCUCCUUGGUGAGGCUGCAAGCAGCAGCGUUGCCAUCUGUCACCAUAAUUGCAUGGCAGCCGGCAUCUCUGGAG
Molecule: long non-coding RNA, 1679 nt
Filed under: Salmo salar (Atlantic salmon)
Lineage: Eukaryota; Metazoa; Chordata; Actinopteri; Salmoniformes; Salmonidae
Description: lncRNA (ENSSSAG00000083878.1)
Source: RNAcentral